CGUGUAGGCGGGAAUACAAGUCAGAUGUGAAAUACCGUAGCUUAACUACGGGGCUGCAUCUGAAACUGUGUUUCUUGAGUGUCGGAGAGGAAAGUGGAAUUCCCAGUGUAGCGGUGAAAUGCGUAGAUAUUGGGAGGAACACCAGUGGCGAAGGCGACUUUCUGGACGAUAACUGACGCUGAGGCGCGAAAGCGUGGGGAGCAAACAGGAUUAGAUACCCCGGUAGUCCACGCUGUAAACGAUGGAUACUAGGUGUAGGAGGUAUCGACCCCUUCUGUGCCGGAGUUAACACAAUAAGUAUCCCACCUGGGGAGUACGGCCGCAAGGUUGAA
RNAcentral lists this ribosomal RNA (332 nucleotides) under uncultured bacterium. RNAcentral describes it as "bacterial SSU rRNA". It matches the Rfam family "Bacterial small subunit ribosomal RNA", at positions 568 to 898 of the family's 1533-position model. The record is from RNAcentral.